UCGGCCUCCAAAACUAGGGUUUCGGCGUCGCACUGCCCUAUUUAUAGAGCCGCCAUGGAAGCAUAGGGAGAGAGCUCAGAGUAUCGUUUUUCAAAAACGGCUUAGGCUCUACCCCCUGGCGGCGGCGGCUAUGUUGGUUGCAACUGUCGAUUGGUUCGGCCUCUUUCUUAGCCGGUGCUUCUCCUUCAUGCUAGGACUAAAAAGAAAAAAACAAGAAGCAGAAGAAUGGAGAGGAUUUGCAGCAGAGAGAGGGAAGAGGGUUUGCAGAAGUAGAGAAAAGAGAGUGAGAGAGAGAACAGGAACAGGAGAAAAAGAAGAGAGAUUGAGACAGUCUUCUCUUGGUCCAUUUAUUCGUUUUUCCUGUUCUUCUUCUUCUUCAGGCUUCCAGUGCUGCCGGCACUGCCUUCUGCCUGCUGUUGCUGCAACUUCUGCGACUCGCACCUGCUUGAGAUGGCUGUUGGGUGUUUGUUGUGAACUUUUUUAGAUUGGUUGGAGAGGUAUUUUUCUGGUUUCCUUCAACUGUUUGUAGUUCCGGGUUCGGGUAAAAUCUGAAAGGAUAUUUAAUUCCUUUUUUCUGGUUUCUUGGGAUUAUCCUCCUUAACCUGUCAUUCCCUGCUCAUGCCUUCGAUUCUGGAAGAAGAGGUAAAUCACAGAUGGAGACUUUACCUCACUAUGUAGGGCAAAAAAUCGAACUCACGACUUACUAAUGCAAAUCCUAAUUUAUUUGGCACUAUA
Diospyros lotus (date-plum) is the source of this 735-nucleotide long non-coding RNA. RefSeq lists it as uncharacterized. The record is from RefSeq and is a predicted model, not a curated record. Lineage: Eukaryota; Viridiplantae; Streptophyta; Magnoliopsida; Ericales; Ebenaceae. The transcript is spliced from 2 exons.